GGGCAGCAAUGUCACCGUCGUACGGGUGCGUAACGCGUAUGCAACCUACCUAUCACUGGGGGAUAGCCCGGGGAAACCCGGAUUAAUACCGCAUAACACAGGGGCUCCACAUGGAGAUAUUUGUUAAAGAUUUAUCGGUGGUAGAUGGGCAUGCGUUCGAUUAGCUAGUUGGCGGGGUAACGGCCCACCAAGGCGACGAUCGAUAGGGGAGCUGAGAGGUUGAUCCCCCACACGGGCACUGAGAUACGGGCCCGACUCCUAC
RNAcentral lists this ribosomal RNA (262 nucleotides) under uncultured Dyadobacter sp. Its description in RNAcentral is "partial 16S ribosomal RNA". It matches the Rfam family "Bacterial small subunit ribosomal RNA", at positions 81 to 342 of the family's 1533-position model. Lineage: Bacteria; Pseudomonadati; Bacteroidota; Cytophagia; Cytophagales; Spirosomataceae. The record is from RNAcentral.